GUGGGGAAUAUUGGACAAUGGGCGAAAGCCUGAUCCAGCCAUGCCGCGUGUGUGAAGAAGGUCUUCGGAUUGUAAAGCACUUUAAGUUGGGAGGAAGGGCAUUAACCUAAUACGUUAGUGUUUUGACGUUACCAACAGAAUAAGCACCGGCUAACUUCGUGCCAGCAGCCGCGGUAAUACGAAGGGUGCAAGCGUUAAUCGGAAUUACUGGGCGUAAAGCGCGCGUAGGUGGUUCGUUAAGUUGGAUGUGAAAGCCCCGGGCUCAACCUGGGAACUGCAUCCAAAACUGGCGAGCUAGAGUACGGUAGAGGGUAGUGGAAUUUCCUGUGUAGCGGUGAAAUGCGUAGAUAUAGGAAGGAACACCAGUGGCGAAGGCGACCACCUGGACUGAUACUGACACUGAGGUGCGAAAGCGUGGGGAGCAAACAGGAUUAGAUACCCGAGUAGUCC
Molecule: ribosomal RNA, 450 nt
Filed under: uncultured bacterium
Lineage: Bacteria
Description: partial 16S ribosomal RNA
Rfam family: Bacterial small subunit ribosomal RNA
Source: RNAcentral